UGCAGAGUUUUCGAUUUUCAAAUUUGUGGGAUUCCUUUUGAAUCACCCUGUAUACAGUUUUUUCUGUUUUUAACAUCUGAUGUUUCCUGAUAGGUAAUCGUUUACAUCACUUUGGGAGAGGGAGUGAAAACGGGCAGUCAAUCAGUGUCUGAAAAGAGAAAAUACACCCAAUACAGAGGCUAGUAAGGAGCACUUCCAGUGCACAAAGUUAAUGUCUUAACAGAUUACAAGAUCAAGUCAUUAACAUGAACCAAAAGGACAAACUCGUCAAAAGCAAAACUCACUUUCCCUUGGCUUUUCUUUCCCUUUUCAUCACGGGUCAUCACAGCAGAAUGAACUAGCAAUUACUGUGGUACAUGCUUUUUUCACCAGAUGCUCUCAUAUGCAGAAUUGACCAGAGCACCCGAAGGAAACCCACACAAACAUGGGGUGAACAUGCAAACUCCACACCUGGCACACCUGAGACUCGAACCAGUGACCUUCUUGCUUUGAGGCAACAGUGAUGACCACGGAGCUACCAUGUGGCCCCUUUUGUAUUCACAUUAUAUUAGUGACAGUUUUCCCCUCAAGGUAUUUCAGUAAAUAAUUGUUGUGAUUUUAUAUAAUUGACAAUAAAUUGUUUGUAUUUAUA
Danio rerio (zebrafish) is the source of this 631-nucleotide non-coding RNA. The record is from RefSeq and is a predicted model, not a curated record. NCBI's taxonomy places the organism in Eukaryota, Metazoa, Chordata, Actinopteri, Cypriniformes, Danionidae.